GUGGGGAAUCUUGCGCAAUGGAGGAAACUCUGACGCAGCCAUGCCGCGUGAGUGAUGAAGGCCUUCGGGUUGUAAAGCUCUGUCUAAGGGGAAAAAUGAUGCGAUGUCGAAUAGGCAUGGCAAGUGAUGGUACCCUUAAAGAAAACACCGGCUAACUCCGUGCCAGCAGCCGCGGCAAUACGGGGGGUGUAAGCGUUGUUCGGAAUUACUGGGCGUAAAGGGCGUGCAGGCGGCCGCCGCAAGUUGAAUGUGAAAUCCCUGGGCUUAACCUGGGAAGUGCGUUCAAGACUGCGGGGCUUGAAUACGGGAGAGGAUCGUGGAAUUCCUGGUGUAGAGGUGAAAUUCGUAGAUAUCAGGAGGAACACUCGUGGCGAAGGCGACGGUCUGGACCGAUAUUGACGCUGAGACGCGAAAGCGUGGGUAGCAAACAGGAUUAGAAACCCCUGUAGUCC
RNAcentral lists this ribosomal RNA (452 nucleotides) under uncultured bacterium. Its description in RNAcentral is "bacterial SSU rRNA". It matches the Rfam family "Bacterial small subunit ribosomal RNA", at positions 354 to 796 of the family's 1533-position model. The record is from RNAcentral.